ACUCUUGAAAAUAGAAUGGGUAGGGCUUUAUUUUUAAAAUAUUGUGAGGUAACAUAUUCCAAGGACUACAAUGUCCAGUGCUAUCUGGAAGUUUUCUUAUACAGGUAAAAAGAAAAAAGAAACUUCUUGGAAGCCAGUUUUUUAGGAAAACAUUUUCUUAGACUUGGAUUAUUUCUUGAUGGUAAGCAACUUGGUAUCCAGGAUGUGAUAAAAUGUCUCACCGACUGAGCAGUUGGUUUGUGAACUGCGCUCCUGCUUCUACAGUCUCUGGGCCACUGAAUAAAGCCUGCAAUGCUUCACCCUCACUUUUGAUCUUCUAUAUCGGCUUUGUGACACCGAACGGCCUACGGUGUGUUAUCUGCACAGAAAAUGGAAGAUUGUACUCUUCUGGGAUAUUAGGUCUGUUUCACUGUGCAGAAGACUUUCAGACGCCUGUACCCAGUGUGGAAAUCGCAUCUGGACUUGCUGAAAGCAUACAUCAGAGCCAGUCUCCCCCCUGCACCCAUCGCCUAAAGCAAAACCACAGUCACUCAGGAGCUACGUUUUCAUCCUUUGUAGAAAUCGGUGUAUUAAGUAUUGCAUAAAUUGGAAUUCAAGACCCUUUGGCACAAAAUAAACAUAAAGACAGACUGACCAGCAGGACAUCAUCAAGGACGGACCAGGCUUGCCAUGGGGGGGUCCCACUAGAGGUGUUGGCCCAAGUCAGCGCUCCCCUUUCACAGCGAUGCCCACAUAUUUGAAGGCAAGCCUGGAUUAUCCAACAGUGAGCACUAAGCAGAAAUGUGAAUAUUCAUUUUCACUUUUCAGAUUUAAAAUUUUUCCUUUGAUCCUUUCUGUUUUUCCCAUUGCUUCUUAUUUCUAAUGCUGCCUGCCAGCUGCCAGCUCUCUGGCACACAGAACAUGGAACCCUUUGAGAUACCACUUCCCCGUUAAAGGAGCAGCUCCUCAGUUAAUGGGCCUGGCCUCUCACUGAGUCUUCAGCUUUGUCAUUUGUUUCUCAGGAAAGGUGGAUUCUGUUUCUUAGCUGAAUUCCUAAUCCCUGGUUUUCUAACUCUUGCCUAAGUAAGCUCAUGGGUCAUGUAAUUGCUGUGUUAAGGAGAAUUCGUUCAUCAGAUGAUGCAUAAUAUAUCCUAUGCUUUGCAAAGUUCAAUGGCUUCUUUUGAAGACAUGCAUGUAAAGGAAUUAAUCAUACCCAGCUAGACAAAUGCCACAACAAAUCUAUAUGAGGAGUUCAAUCUCCUCAUCCCAUUCUUUAUUAUGCUUCAUCCCACAGUAUCCUUUUCAUUAAAAGGUCGUACACCGCAUCUGUUUCAUUCACCAAUACAUCCCUAGGAGACUAUCAGGCAACAACAUAGAUGCUCAAUUAAUAUUGAUUGAAUAACUAAAUGGGGAUGUGAUUAAAACAGUUUGGGAGAACCACAGACAAGGACAGAGAAGAUGAAAUUACAGAUGAGGAGGGCUCUGUCAGGGUGGGAAGCGGGCAUCUUAGCCAUUGCUGUGGGUGUAAUGGUGUGGAGGGAGAUUGGGGAAAGGAACAAAGCACAGGGGGCAGGGCAAGGGAUGCUACUGGAUGUGGAACGUGUUUCUUAUGAGGCUCUGGGGAUCGGCCUCCAAGCUCAUUUGGCUUGUUGAUCAAGUUCUGUUCUUUGGGACUGUAGGACCGAGGCUGUCAUUUCCUGGUUGUAAGCCAGGGCACAGUCUUUACUUCUACAGGUGGCCACAUUCUUUCCCAGGUGAACUGUGAGCUCCUAGAAACUCUAUCUGGUCCUGCACGUGAGUUCCAUGAUCUCUGAGCCAGUCACAGUCAAAUUUUUCUUGUGCUAAUAUCUCUGAGUUUUCCUUCUGCUGUAUCUCUCUGACUCCAGAUAGAGAAAAUUAUUUGCUUUUAAGAGCACAUGUGAUUAGAGUAGGCCAUCUGCAUGAUCCAGGAUUAUUUACCUAUUUUAAGGUCUGCAAACUUAGUUAUACCUGCAAAGUCCUGUUGACCAUGUAAACAUGGCACAUUCACAAGUUCUGAAGAUUAGAGUAUGAACAUUUUUGUGGGGUCAAAAAUAUGCCUACUACAGAUAUGACCAAAAGUACAAGAUGUUAACAGAGUAUGUAAUAGUUUACAUGCCAGUAAGACAUUGAGAAGCAAUGGGAAGAAGUUAGCAAAUACCCUUGGGUACACACACACACCACUUUAUGUUAUGUUUCACUUUAGUCUUGCAAAAUAAAAAGAAGUCUUAAAAAAAAAAUCUUAUUUUUAUCCCUAAAAUUCUAUUUAUUUAUGCUCUUUUAUAUGCCAAAAUCAUCAUUAUUCACUUAAUAAUGGACAUCAAAACCAACUUAACUAUAAAAUGUAAUUUCACUAAUUUAAAUAGCUCUGCUAUUCUGUUGAGAGUCUUAAUUUUCAAAAAAACAGUUUGGAAUUAUUCAAUGCUUAACACUUUGUAUUACAGUGUGGAAAAGUAUAAGUGGAUAAUAAAUAAUAAGUUCUCCCUG
Long non-coding RNA from Manis pentadactyla (Chinese pangolin), 2484 nucleotides. RefSeq lists it as uncharacterized. The record is from RefSeq and is a predicted model, not a curated record. Lineage: Eukaryota; Metazoa; Chordata; Mammalia; Pholidota; Manidae. The transcript is spliced from 5 exons.